RNAcentral lists this non-coding RNA (40 nucleotides) under Thraustochytrium sp. LLF1b. The record is from RNAcentral. Lineage: Eukaryota; Bigyra; Thraustochytrida; Thraustochytriidae.
CCACCCUGGCUGGCCCUGGAGCCGCAGCUUUACAAGGCGU